UUCAACAUGGAGUGGAGACUCCAUAACGUACACAAAGAGGAAUGAUCAAAGCCGAUGAUCGUAAGCUAUGUCCUCCAUCACGAUCUCGGAUGAAACUAUCCAUGGAAUGAUCUAAUAUUUCUCUUCUAAACUCAUCACCAUUUCAUAUCAUGCUUACGUGUCAAAGAUACGAGGUGUCAAUGUUUUAACCCAUGUUACCAAAUGCUACCUCCUCUUAGAAUUUAUCUUAUUCGGUCCUUUCUCUGAUAAAAUGUUAGCUGACUCGGUUAUUGCCCUUUCUCUUAUACCAUCGCAUCUGAAAAUCACGGUGGUAGGAACCAUCGUUUCCGUCGACGGAACGCCCUCCUCAGUCGUCGCGCCUUGUCGUUUCCUUCCUCCGCCGAUGCCAGUCCCUCCUGCCUCACCGUCAUCUUCUCCUAGUGACGCCUACAACACAUGGCCUUCCACACAGCGCCUUCAGCUCUUCCUCGUUCAAAAAAGAAGUUGACUGAUUAAGGUUAAUUUUUCGAUCUCCACUAGCGCCUUCCUUAUCCAUCUACCAGCGCUUCCUCCGUCAUUUAAGUCGGCCAUCCCUGCAACUCCGACCGGUAAGAUUAAUUUUUUUUUUCUGAUACGUGAUGUGAAGAAUGAAGAAGUUUAUUUGAAUGCUCUUUUACAAAGUUUCAUGACGAUGAAACUGGCAAUUGGCAGCCAAUCGGAUGGAAUGAUAAUUGCUCAUAGAAGUUAUCGGAUUCUGAGAUUUCUGGGGAAAGUAAAGGCCCAAAAAGGCAGAAAGGAAGCACAAAGACAUUGGAGGGAGAUCAUAACCAAUUUACCAAAACUGAUGUUCAUGCUAGUGUGUGAUUCUUUAUUCCUUGUGUAUGUAGAUUGUGAAUUUAAUUAUCAUAUAAUCAAUUGUUUGGACUUGGGAGAGCCAAUUAUCCCUCUUUAAUUCAAAUUGUAUUCAUUGUU
Long non-coding RNA from Lactuca sativa (garden lettuce), 951 nucleotides. RefSeq lists it as uncharacterized. Lineage: Eukaryota; Viridiplantae; Streptophyta; Magnoliopsida; Asterales; Asteraceae. The record is from RefSeq and is a predicted model, not a curated record.